Molecule: long non-coding RNA, 588 nt
Filed under: Rattus norvegicus (Norway rat)
Lineage: Eukaryota; Metazoa; Chordata; Mammalia; Rodentia; Muridae
Description: long non-coding RNA NONRATT024065
Source: RNAcentral
CUGUCCUUCAGAGUGGGCAAGGGAGAGCUGGACGUGCAGAGAUGUGUGAGGUUACACAUCAUAAAGAACAACUCAAGAUCGUAUCACACGGCAGUAUAAACCUGCCACUUCUACUUGGCCCAGGACUGACAUCUGUCUCUGACUCAGAAGAGCUUUUCCAGCUUAUCAAAGUGGAGGCGUGACGUAAAUCAGCCAUGGUCCCUCAGAGACCACCAACACCCCCAGUUCUAAAAGCUUCUAACUUCAACUGGCAAAGGAUGCCCCAGGCCAAGCCAUCAGCUCACCCCAACAUGACUCUGCAAAUGGUGGAAGCCACCUUGCUGCCUUGUCAGGACGAGUGAUCCUCCCUAUGCAGGCUGCAUCUCCAGCCUAUGGCCUGGCCUCUCUGGAUCCCCUGUCUUGCCAGAUGCUUCAUCUUCGUUUUGCAAAUAGUCUCUGCUGGUGUACUGUGGUUUUCUGCUGUUGCCUCUGUGAAUCUCUCUCAAGACUUAAGAAAUCUCUAGGGAGAAGCUGUGUUGUUUUAAUUGAGAUUACAAAAUGGAGAUGAACUUCCCAAUUGAGUCAAAUAUUACAAAUUUGGCUAACUUU